CUGUGCUGAGUUUUUCGAAGGUCAGAGCAGAUUGAACCUUUGUGCUUUCAUUUUUCCUGAUUUUGAUUUUUCUUAUGGGGAUCCACUUUUCCUGCAUUCGAGGUGACUUGAAGAAGCCUUCCAAAAAGCGUGUGAAAAGGGAGCCCUACUCUACUACCAUGUUACAGGUGACUUCAUUGAGCCCAAUCAAUGAAAUUUUGAGAAGAUACAGCCUGUACACCAACCAGCAUUGGAGGCAUCAUGGCUUCUGGAGAAAGAAGAUACAGCCACAAGAAGCCUCUGAGGAGCCUCCAGCUCACAAGGACAGAGGAGGUGGAGAGAGGCCAGUCAACGCGAGGGUGGUGCGGGUGGCCCCUCUGAGGCCUGGUUUUGCUCUUUGUGGGUACGCUGUACAAGACAUCUCUAAAGAAGACACUGUAUAUGACAUCUGUAAUGAGGAUGCUGUAGACAUCUCUGAUGAGGACACUGUAGAUAUCUCUAAUGAGGCUUCUGUACAUGACAUCUCUAAUGAGGCUGCUGUAUGUGACAUCUCUAACGAUGCCGUAAACAUCUCUAAUGAGGCUGCUGUACGUGACAUCUCUAAUGACGCUGUAGACAUCUGUAAUGAGGCUGCUGUACAUGACAUCUCUAAUGAGGACACUAUAGAAGACAUUUCUUAUGAGGACACUGUAUACGACAUCACUAAUGAGGAUGCUGUACGAUACCUCUGUAAAAAAGAUGCUACCAAGGAGCCAUUGACACUGGAGAAUGAUUUGAUUGUGGAGAGCAUGUCUGAUGACGAGGAUUUUGCAGCUUAAAGGGAGCUCCCGGGGUGAGUGAUGGAGGCGGGAUCGGACCCUGGCAGUUUGACGGCAACACCUGUGUUCCUCUGCACUGGGCCGUGGAUGACAUUACACACCUUGGUGAGAAUCAGGAAUUGAGGCUAAUCACAUCUGAAAUUGAGCUCGCUCACUGGACAGGAUAGACUGGGCGCCCAGGCCUCAAGGGCUUAUGAUUUCUUCUCGGGUUUGAAACAUGCCCCCAGAUGAGCAAGACGGGGCUGCCACAUUGACGGAGCAGCUGCGGGACACACCCAAGAAACCUCCUGGAGAACACAGGGGACAUUCACGGCUGGAGGCUUCAUCUAUGGCCGGGGGCUUCAUCCAUGAGCUGGGGACUUCAUCCAUGGGCUGGGGACUUCAUCCAUGACUGGGGACCUCAUCCACGUCUGGAGACUUCAUCCGCGACUGGGGGCUUCAUCCAUGGGCUGGGGGAUUCAUCCACGGGCUGGGGGCUUCAUCCAUCACUGGGGGCUUCAUCCACGGGCUGGGGGCUUCAUCCAUGACUGGGGGCUUCAUCCACGGGCUGGGGGCUUCAUCCAUGGGCUGGGGGCUUCAUCCAUGACUGGGGGCUUCAUCCACGGGCUGGGGGCUUCAUCCAUGACUGGGGACUUCAUCCACGACUGGAGACUUCAUCCAUAGGCUGGGGGCUUCAUCUACAGCUGGAGACUUCAUCCACAGCAGGGGCUUCAUCCUUGGUUGGUUUGCCUGAUCUGUAUCUGAGCCACAGAUACAGAUUAUUAAACAGAUAAUAAUUUUAUUGA
RNAcentral lists this long non-coding RNA (1582 nucleotides) under Homo sapiens (human). RNAcentral describes it as "non-protein coding LINC01658:7". The record is from RNAcentral. Lineage: Eukaryota; Metazoa; Chordata; Mammalia; Primates; Hominidae.